Molecule: unclassified non-coding RNA, 338 nt
Filed under: soil metagenome
Description: partial contains 5.8S ribosomal RNA, internal transcribed spacer 2, and large subunit ribosomal RNA
Rfam family: 5.8S ribosomal RNA (bases 1-120)
Source: RNAcentral
GAUGAAGAACGCAGCGAAAUGCGAUAAGUAAUGUGAAUUGCAGAAUUCAGUGAAUCAUCGAAUCUUUGAACGCACAUUGCGCCCGCUAGUAUUCUGGCGGGCAUGCCUGUUCGAGCGUCAUUUCAACCAUCAAGCCCUGUUUAGGCUUGUGUUGGGGCCCUGCGGUUGCCGCAGCCCCCUAAAUGCAGUGGCGGGCUCGCUAUCACACCGAGUGCAGUAGUUUACUCUUCGCUCAGGGCGUGUGGCGGGUGCUAGCCGUAAAACCCCCAACUUCUCAAGGUUGACCUCGGAUCAGGUAGGAAUACCCGCUGAACUUAAGCAUAUCAAUAAGCGGAGGA